ACGAACGCUGGCGGCGUGCUUAACACAUGCAAGUCGAACGGUGAAGCUCCAGCUUGCUGGAGUGGAUCAGUGGCGAACGGGUGAGUAACACGUGAGCAACCUGCCCCUGACUCUGGAAUAAGCGCUGGAAACGGCGUCUAAUACUGGAUACGAGAAGGGUCCGCAUGGGCACUUUCUGGAAAGUUUUUCGGUUGGGGAUGGGCUCGCGGCCUAUCAGCUUGUUGGUGAGGUAAUGGCUCGCCAAGGCGACGACGGGUAGCCGGCCUGAGAGGGCGACCGGCCACACUGGGACUGAGACACGGCCCAGACCCCUACGGGAGGCAGCAGUGGGGAAUAUUGCACAAUGGGCGAAAGCCUGAUGCAGCGACGCCGCGUGAGGGAUGACGGCCUUCGGGUUGUAAACCUCUUUCAGCAGGGAAGAAGCGAAAGUGACGGUACCUGCAGAAGAAGCACCGGCUAACUACGUG
Molecule: ribosomal RNA, 467 nt
Filed under: uncultured bacterium
Lineage: Bacteria
Description: partial 16S ribosomal RNA
Rfam family: Bacterial small subunit ribosomal RNA
Source: RNAcentral